CCUACGUGAGGCAGCAGUGAGGAAUAUUGGUCAAUGGACGAGAGUCUGAACCAGCCAAGUAGCGUGAAGGAUGACUGCCCUAUGGGUUGUAAACUUCUUUUAUAAAGGAAUAAAACGAGGCACGUGUGCCUUUUUGCAUGUACUUUAUGAAUAAGGAUCGGCUAACUCCGUGCCAGCAGCCGCGGGAAUACGGGGGGUGCAAGCGUUGUCCGGAAUCAUUGGGCGUAAAGAGUUCGCAGGCGGCACGUAAAGUCUGGUGUUAAAGGCAGAGGCUCAACUUCUGUACGGCACUGGAUACUUGCGAGCUAGAAUGCUGUAGAGGUAAAGGGAAUUCCUGGUGUAGCGGUGAAAUGCUUAGAUAUCAGGAGGAACAUCGGUGGCGUAAGCGCUUUACUGGGCCGUAAUUGACGCUGAGGAACGAAAGCCAGGGUAGCAAAUGGGAUUAGAUACCCGGGUAGUC
Molecule: ribosomal RNA, 460 nt
Filed under: uncultured bacterium
Lineage: Bacteria
Description: partial 16S ribosomal RNA
Rfam family: Bacterial small subunit ribosomal RNA
Source: RNAcentral